GCGGUUGUGGUGGAACGGCAGACACGCUAUCUUGAGGGGGUAGUGCCCACCGGGCGUAUGGGUUCAAGUCCCAUCAACCGCACCA
This 85-nucleotide transfer RNA is filed under the name Paenibacillus glycanilyticus. Its description in RNAcentral is "tRNA-Leu". It matches the Rfam family "tRNA". Rfam says of the family: Transfer RNA (tRNA) molecules are approximately 80 nucleotides in length. Their secondary structure includes four short double-helical elements and three loops (D, anti-codon, and T loops). Further hydrogen bonds mediate the characteristic L-shaped molecular structure. tRNAs have two regions of fundamental functional importance: the anti-codon, which is responsible for specific mRNA codon recognition, and the 3' end, to which the tRNAs corresponding amino acid is attached (by aminoacyl-tRNA synthetases). tRNAs cope with the degeneracy of the genetic code in two manners: having more than one tRNA (with a specific anti-codon) for a particular amino acid; and 'wobble' base-pairing, i.e. permitting non-standard base-pairing at the 3rd anti-codon position. The record is from RNAcentral. RNAcentral also lists the same sequence under 3 other names. Lineage: Bacteria; Bacillati; Bacillota; Bacilli; Caryophanales; Paenibacillaceae.